This 839-nucleotide ribosomal RNA is filed under the name Pseudoalteromonas sp. Its description in RNAcentral is "bacterial SSU rRNA". It matches the Rfam family "Bacterial small subunit ribosomal RNA", at positions 34 to 857 of the family's 1533-position model. The record is from RNAcentral. Lineage: Bacteria; Pseudomonadati; Pseudomonadota; Gammaproteobacteria; Alteromonadales; Pseudoalteromonadaceae.
AGCUGGCGGCAGGCCUAACACAUGCAAGUCGAGCGGUAACAGAGAGUAGCUUGCUACUUUGCUGACGAGCGGCGGACGGGUGAGUAAUGCUUGGGAAUAUGCCUUUUGGUGGGGGACAACAGUUGGAAACGACUGCUAAUACCGCAUGAUGUCUACGGACCAAAGUGGGGGACCUUCGGGCCUCACGCCAAAAGAUUAGCCCAAGUGGGAUUAGCUAGUUGGUAAGGUAAUGGCUUACCAAGGCAACGAUCCCUAGCUGGUUUGAGAGGAUGAUCAGCCACACUGGGACUGAGACACGGCCCAGACUCCUACGGGAGGCAGCAGUGGGGAAUAUUGCACAAUGGGCGCAAGCCUGAUGCAGCCAUGCCGCGUGUGUGAAGAAGGCCUUCGGGUUGUAAAGCACUUUCAGUCAGGAGGAAAGGGUGUGUUUUAAUAGAGCAUAUCUGUGACGUUACUGACAGAAGAAGCACCGGCUAACUCCGUGCCAGCAGCCGCGGUAAUACGGAGGGUGCGAGCGUUAAUCGGAAUUACUGGGCGUAAAGCGUACGCAGGCGGUUUGUUAAGCGAGAUGUGAAAGCCCCGGGCUCAACCUGGGAACUGCAUUUCGAACUGGCAAACUAGAGUGUGAUAGAGGGUGGUAGAAUUUCAGGUGUAGCGGUGAAAUGCGUAUAGAUCUGAAGGAAUACCGAUGGCGAAGGCAGCCACCUGGGGUCAACACUGACGCUCAUGUACGAAAGCGUGGGGAGCAAAACAGGGAUUAGAUACCCUGGGUAGUCCACGCCGUAAACGAUGUCUACUAAAACCUCGGAGCCUCGGUUCUGGUUUUUCACAAGCUCACG